AACGAACGCUGGCGGCAUGCCUAACACAUGCAAGUCGAACGAGACCUUCGGGUCUAGUGGCGCACGGGUGCGUAACGCGUGGGAACCUGCCCUUAGGUUCGGAAUAACUCCCCGAAAGGGGUGCUAAUACCGGAUAAUGUCUUCGGACCAAAGAUUUAUCGGCUUUGGAUGGGCCCGCGUUGGAUUAGCUAGUUGGUAGGGUAAAAGCCUACCAAGGCGACGAUCCAUAGCUGGUCUGAGAGGAUGAUCAGCCACACUGGGACUGAGACACGGCCCAGACUCCUACGGGAGGCAGCAGUGGGGAAUAUUGGACAAUGGGCGAAAGCCUGAUCCAGCAAUGCCGCGUGAGUGAUGAAGGCCUUAGGGUUGUAAAGCUCUUUUAACCGGGAUGAUAAUGACAGUACCGGGAGAAUAAGCUCCGGCUAACUCCGUG
This 433-nucleotide ribosomal RNA is filed under the name uncultured bacterium. RNAcentral describes it as "partial 16S ribosomal RNA". It matches the Rfam family "Bacterial small subunit ribosomal RNA", at positions 29 to 507 of the family's 1533-position model. The record is from RNAcentral.